CAUCAUCUAACCACACGUUACAAAGCCUCUCACUGACCGAGCCUUCACGGCUCCUUGGCUUGACCAGAACCAUCCUUAGUUCCUGAAACCAUAACCAGAUAAGCAUUAAUCAUAACCGAGAAUAGAACGAAUUGAUUAUACAAUGCUUGGCUUGGUCCCUAGAACUUAGAUAAACCUCAAACAACAUAAUCAUAAAAAGUAUGAACCUAUCUACCAUAUCCUAAGUCAUUCAAUCAACCACCCCUUGACUUAGAAUCAGAUAGAUAGUCCAAAAUAGAUAAACAGAACACA
This 291-nucleotide long non-coding RNA is filed under the name Brassica napus (rape). RNAcentral's name for it is "long non-coding RNA (BNAP_LNC002332)". The record is from RNAcentral. Lineage: Eukaryota; Viridiplantae; Streptophyta; Magnoliopsida; Brassicales; Brassicaceae.